AUACUUUGCAGUGGCAGCAUCAUAGCCAAUGAGGUUUAUCCAAGGCACGAUUAUUGCUAAUUGAAAACUUUUCCCAGUACCCUGCUGUGAUGAUUUACAAUAUAGUUGGCACUGGCAAUUUUUGACAGUCUCUACAGAGA
Small nuclear RNA from Otolemur garnettii (small-eared galago), 140 nucleotides. Its record names the gene U4. It matches the Rfam family "U4 spliceosomal RNA". Rfam says of the family: U4 small nuclear RNA (U4 snRNA) is a component of the major U2-dependent spliceosome. The structure of U4 snRNA from yeast and human has been reported. The record is from Ensembl. NCBI's taxonomy places the organism in Eukaryota, Metazoa, Chordata, Mammalia, Primates, Galagidae.